This 131-nucleotide non-coding RNA is filed under the name Spirochaetota bacterium. Its description in RNAcentral is "Spirochaetes bacterium FMN sequence". It matches the Rfam family "FMN riboswitch aptamer (RFN element)". From Rfam's summary of the family: The RFN element is a highly conserved domain that is found frequently in the 5'-untranslated regions of prokaryotic mRNAs that encode for flavin mononucleotide (FMN) biosynthesis and transport proteins. Lineage: Bacteria; Pseudomonadati; Spirochaetota. The record is from RNAcentral.
CAAGUUCUUCAGGGUUAGGUGAAAUACCUUACCGGCGGUAGACGACUAGUUCGUAAGCCCGCGAGCUCGAAAGAGCAGAUUCGGUCAAAAUCCGAAGCCGACAGUUACAGUCUGGAUGGAAGAAGAACGAG